RNAcentral lists this ribosomal RNA (512 nucleotides) under Lophodermium resinosum. RNAcentral describes it as "eukaryotic LSU rRNA". The stretch from base 165 to 318 matches the Rfam family "5.8S ribosomal RNA". The record is from RNAcentral. Lineage: Eukaryota; Fungi; Ascomycota; Leotiomycetes; Rhytismatales; Rhytismataceae.
GUAACAAGGUUUCCGUAGGUGAACCUGCGGAAGGAUCAUUAAAGAAGAUAAGGCCUUCGGGCCCUAUUCUCACCCUUUGUAUACCUAACUUUGUUGCUUUGGCGGAAACGUCAGAGGACCGAAACCCUUGAAUCUCUGCUGUCUGAGUACUAUAUAAUAGUUAAAACUUUCAACAACGGAUCUCUUGGUUCUGGCAUCGAUGAAGAACGCAGCGAAAUGCGAUAAGUAAUGUGAAUUGCAGAAUUCAGUGAAUCAUCGAAUCUUUGAACGCACAUUGCGCCCUCUGGUAUUCCGGGGGGCAUGCCUGUUCGAGCGUCAUUACAACCCUCAAGCUCUGCUUGGUAUUGGGCUCGCCUCCGGGCUUGCCUCAAAAUCAGUGGCGGCACCGUCUGACCUUAAGCGCAGUAAUACUCGUCGCUUGUAGAAUCAGUCGAAGGCCUGUCAGUAAACCCCCACCAUAUUAGGUUGACCUCGGAUCAGGUAGGGAUACCCGCUGAACUUAAGCAUAUCAA